Molecule: ribosomal RNA, 345 nt
Filed under: Hoploclonia sp. SB0296
Lineage: Eukaryota; Metazoa; Arthropoda; Insecta; Phasmatodea; Heteropterygidae
Description: partial 12S ribosomal RNA
Source: RNAcentral
UAGUUAUGUUCUUUAAACCCUAAGAAUUUGGCGGUGUUUUAGUCUAAUUAGAGGAACUUGACCCAUAAUCGAUAAUCCUCGUUUUAUCUGGCUUAACUUUGUUAUCAAUAUGUAUACCGCCGUUAUAGGUUUAUUUUUUUAGAAUUUAAUUUACUAAUAAUUUUAUUUUAUUUUAUUUCAGGUCAAGGUGCAGUUUAUAGUUAAGUGGAGUUGAGUUACAUUAUUAUUUGAUUAUAUGGAUUUUUUAUUGAAAUAUUUUAUUGAAGGUGGAUUUAAUAGUAAUUUUAUUAAUAGUGGUAAUUUGAUUUUAGCUCUAAGAUAAGUACACAUCGCCCGGUCGCUCUA